This 783-nucleotide ribosomal RNA is filed under the name uncultured Actinomycetes bacterium. Its description in RNAcentral is "bacterial SSU rRNA". It matches the Rfam family "Bacterial small subunit ribosomal RNA", at positions 56 to 849 of the family's 1533-position model. Lineage: Bacteria; Bacillati; Actinomycetota; Actinomycetes. The record is from RNAcentral.
UGCAGUCGAACGAUGAAGCUGGAGCUUGCUCCGGCCGAUUAGUGGCGAACGGGUGAGUAACACGUGAGCAAUCUGCCCUUGACUCUGGGAUAACUGCGGGAAACUGUAGCUAAUACCGGAUACUUUCCUCGCUGGGCAUCCAGCGGGGAAGAAAGAAUUUCGGUCAAGGAUGAGCUCGCGGCCUAUCAGCUAGUUGGUGAGGUAAAGGCUCACCAAGGCGACGACGGGUAGCCGGCCUGAGAGGGUGACCGGCCACACUGGAACUGAGACACGGUCCAGACUCCUACGGGAGGCAGCAGUGGGGAAUAUUGCACAAUGGGCGAAAGCCUGAUGCAGCAACGCCGCGUGAGGGAUGAAGGCCUUCGGGUUGUAAACCUCUUUUAGCAGGGAAGAAGCGAAAGUGACGGUACCUGCAGAAAAAGCACCGGCUAACUACGUGCCAGCAGCCGCGGUAAUACGUAGGGUGCAAGCGUUGUCCGGAAUUAUUGGGCGUAAAGAGCUCGUAGGCGGUUUGUCACGUCUGCUGUGAAAAUCCGAGGCUCAACCUCGGACUUGCAGUGGGUACGGGCAGGCUAGAGUGCGGUAGGGGAGAAGGGAAUUCCUGGUGUAGCGGUGGAAUGCGCAGAUAUCAGGAGGAACACCAAUGGCGAAGGCACUUCUCUGGACCGUAACUGACGCUGAGGAGCGAAAGCGUGGGGAGCGAACAGGAUUAGAUACCCUGGUAGUCCACGCCGUAAACGGUGGGUGCUAGCUGUGGGCCACAUUCCACGUGGUCCGUGACGA